Molecule: ribosomal RNA, 492 nt
Filed under: uncultured bacterium
Lineage: Bacteria
Description: partial 16S ribosomal RNA
Rfam family: Bacterial small subunit ribosomal RNA
Source: RNAcentral
GAUGAACGCUCGCUACAGGCUUAACACAUGCAAGUCGAGGGGAAACGACAUCGAAAGCUUGCUUUUGAUGGGCGUCGACCGGCGCACGGGUGAGUAACGCGUAUCCAACCUGCCCAUCACUUGGGAAUAACCUUGCGAAAGUAAGACUAAUACCCAAUGAUAUCCCACGAAGGCAUCGGAAUGGGAUUAAAGAUUUAUCGGUGAUGGAUGGGGAUGCGUCUGAUUAGCUUGUUGGCGGGGUAACGGCCCACCAAGGCAACGAUCAGUAGGGGUUCUGAGAGGAAGGUCCCCCACAUUGGAACUGAGACACGGUCCAAACUACUACGGGAGGCAGCAGUAAGGGAUAUUGGUCAAUGGGCGAGAGCCUGAACCAGCCAAGUAGCGUGCAGGAAGACGGCCCUAGGGGUUGUAAACUGCUUUUAUAAGGGAAUAAAGUGGGUCACGUGUGACUUUUUGCAUGUACCUUAUGAAUAAGGACCGGCUAAUUCCGUG